RNAcentral lists this ribosomal RNA (254 nucleotides) under uncultured bacterium. RNAcentral describes it as "partial 16S ribosomal RNA". It matches the Rfam family "Bacterial small subunit ribosomal RNA", at positions 524 to 776 of the family's 1533-position model. The record is from RNAcentral.
UACGUAGGGAGCGAGCGUUGUCCGGAUUUAUUGGGCGUAAAGAGCUCGUAGGCGGUUUGGUAAGUCGGGUGUGAAAGCUCCGGGCUCAACUCGGAGAGGUCACUCGAUACUGCCAUGACUGGAGUCCGGUAGGGGGGUGUGGAAUUCCCAGUGUAGCGGUGAAAUGCGCAGAUAUCAGGAGGAACACCAGCGGCGAAGGCGGCGCUCUGGGCCGGAACUGACGCUGAGGCGCGAAAGCGUGGGGAGCAAACAGG